RNAcentral lists this unclassified non-coding RNA (884 nucleotides) under Hevea brasiliensis (rubber tree). Lineage: Eukaryota; Viridiplantae; Streptophyta; Magnoliopsida; Malpighiales; Euphorbiaceae. The record is from RNAcentral.
AGAGAGAUGGAUGAAGAAGAGCAUGAAGUUUAUGGAGGUGAAAUCCCCAUUGAAGGUGACAUGGAACCUCACGGUGCUGACGUGGAUAUGGCCACCGCCGAUGAUGAUGCUGUUAAGGAAUUGGAUGAGAUGAAGAAGAGAUUGAAGGAGAUGGAAGAUGAAGCUGCAGCUCUUAGGGAGAUGCAGGCUAAGGUUGAGAAGGAGAUGGGUUCUGUUCAAGACGAUCCUGCAAGUACAGCUGCUUCACAGGAAAACCGGGAAGAACUUGAUUCACGAUCAAUAUUUGUUGGCAAUGUUGACUAUGCAUGCACUCCAGAGGAAGUUCAGCAGCAUUUCCAGGCAUGUGGUACUGUCAAUCGGGUUACCAUUCUUACUGAUAAAUUUGGCCAACCCAAAGGUUUUGCAUAUGUGGAAUUCAUUGAACAAGAAGCUGUCCAGGAGGCACUCCAGCUGAAUGAGUCUGAACUGCAUGGACGUCAAUUGAAGGUAAUGCCCAAGAGGACUAAUGUUCCAGGAAUGAAGCAGUUCCGCCCAGGGCGCUUCAAUCCAUACUUGGGAGGUUACAGGUCUAGAAGGCCUUAUGCAGCUCCCUAUUUCUACUCUCCAUACGGAUACGGAAAAGUUCCAAGGUUCAGGAGGCCUGGGAGAUUCAUGCCUUACUAUUAAAAGAUGCCAAAAUCUGAUGAAUGCAGACUAGAAUCACAAUCAAAUACUGAUGCUGUCAUCUGGAGACCACCCAUUUCAUAUUUUUCAUAAUGUAUCAUUUAGGUACUGGUUGAGACUUUGUAGUAGCUUAUCUAGCAUAAGUCAAUGCUUCCUAUUUGCAUUUGAACUUGGUCAAAAAUCUCUUGUUCAACAUUAGUAUAAUCCUGUUGGAUGUUGAA